AUUGAACGCUGGCGGCAGGCUUAACACAUGCAAGUCGAGCGGGGUGAUGGUGCUUGCACUAUCACUUAGCGGCGGACGGGUGAGUAAUGCUUAGGAAUCUGCCUAUUAGUGGGGGACAACAUCUCGAAAGGGAUGCUAAUACCGCAUACGUCCUACGGGAGAAAGCAGGGGAUCACUUGUGACCUUGCGCUAAUAGAUGAGCCUAAGUCGGAUUAGCUAGUUGGUGGGGUAAAGGCCUACCAAGGCGACGAUCUGUAGCGGGUCUGAGAGGAUGAUCCGCAACACUGGGACUGAGACACGGCCCAGACUUCUACGGGAGGCAGCAGUGGGGAAUAUUGGACAAUGGGGGGAACCCUGAUCCAGCCAUGCCGCGUGUGUGAAGAAGGCCUUAUGGUUGUAAAGCACUUUAAGCGAGGAGGAGGCUCUUUUGGUUAAUACCCAAGAUGAGUGGACGUUACUCGCAGAAUAAGCACCGGCUAACUCUGUGCCAGCAGCCGCCGUAA
RNAcentral lists this ribosomal RNA (503 nucleotides) under uncultured bacterium. RNAcentral's name for it is "partial 16S ribosomal RNA". It matches the Rfam family "Bacterial small subunit ribosomal RNA", at positions 30 to 523 of the family's 1533-position model. The record is from RNAcentral.